Molecule: ribosomal RNA, 492 nt
Filed under: uncultured Sphingobacteriales bacterium
Lineage: Bacteria; Pseudomonadati; Bacteroidota; Sphingobacteriia; Sphingobacteriales
Description: bacterial SSU rRNA
Rfam family: Bacterial small subunit ribosomal RNA
Source: RNAcentral
CCCGCUCAGAAACUUAAAGGAAUUGACGGGGGCCCGCACAAGCGGUGGAGCAUGUGGUUUAAUUCGAUGAUACGCGAGGAACCUUACCUGGGCUCAAAUGUAUGUUGACGUAUUCUGAAAGGGAUACUUCUUCGGACAAUAUACAAGGUGCUGCAUGGUUGUCGUCAGCUCGUGCCGUGAGGUGUCGGGUUAAGUCCCAUAACGAGCGCAACCCCUAUCAUUAGUUGCCAUCAGGUCAAGCUGGGGACUCUAAUGAAACUGCCUACGCAAGUAGUGAGGAAGGUGGGGAUGACGUCAAAUCAGCACGGCCCUUACGUCCAGGGCUACACACGUGCUACAAUGGCCGGUACAAAGGGCAGCUACCUGGUGACAGGAUGCUAAUCUCAAAAGCCGGUCUCAGUUCGGAUCGGAGUCUGCAACCCGACUCCGUGAAGCUGGAAUCGCUGGUAAUCGCGCAUCAGCCAUGGCGCGGUGAAUACGUUCCCGGGCCUU